This 103-nucleotide microRNA precursor is filed under the name Marmota monax (woodchuck). Lineage: Eukaryota; Metazoa; Chordata; Mammalia; Rodentia; Sciuridae. The record is from RNAcentral.
AAUGGGAUAGCUGGGUCAAAUGGUGAUUACAUUCCAAGUUUUCUGAGGAAUCUCCAUAUUGCUUUGCAGAUUAGUUUCACCCAUUUUCAGUCCCACCAGCAAU